AUGAUUCAAGUUCAAGUUCCAGGAAGGACGUUCACGCCAGUCACUGAGCCCAUAGAGUUUUCUUUCGAUGCACCAACCUGGAGUCUAGGAAAGAGUAUGACAGCUCACAUCACCAUGGGACGCAUUGGAGAAGUUUACCACAAUGAUCUCAAGAAUACAAUCUAUCAGAUUUGUGGGCGCCGAGAUGAGCAAUGGGAGAUGAUCAGCACCAGGAAGGAUAUAUCGAUUGCCUCUUUCAUCCAGGAGUUAAACCAGCACAUUCGACGCCAGGAGAACCAGAUGUGCGCAGGCAUGGCGGAUUUGAAGAAAGCAAUGAGAAGGAUCACGGAACUGGAGGAAGAACUCAAGGCUACACGCGAGGAUUAUAUGGAGAAAAUCGUCGCACUAGUGAAGAAGAAUGGCGACCUGACAAAGAAGCUAGGAGUAUUCAUGGGAGACCCUGCGCCAGGAGGAGAAGAUGACGAUUCCACUUGCCCGGAGAACUACAUCAUCAUCGACGACACCGACUCGGACCCUGACGAUAGCGAUGAUGACUAUGUUGAUGAAGCUGGAGCAGAUAUCAUGGAGUCUUCGACUGAUCAUUUUUUCUAG
Molecule: ribosomal RNA, 591 nt
Filed under: Triticum aestivum (bread wheat)
Lineage: Eukaryota; Viridiplantae; Streptophyta; Magnoliopsida; Poales; Poaceae
Description: partial small subunit ribosomal RNA
Source: RNAcentral